Molecule: ribosomal RNA, 427 nt
Filed under: uncultured bacterium
Lineage: Bacteria
Description: bacterial SSU rRNA
Rfam family: Bacterial small subunit ribosomal RNA
Source: RNAcentral
UGGGGAAUUUUGGACAAUGGACGCAAGCCUGAUGCAGCCAUGCCGCAUGUAUGAAGAAGGCCUUCGGGUUGUAAAGUACUUUCAGCGAGGAGGAAGGCGAUAAGGUUAAUAACCUUGUCGAUUGACGUUACUCGCAGAAGAAGCACCGGCUAACUCCGUGCCAGCCGCCGCGGUAAUACGGAGGGUGCAAGCGUUAAUCGGAAUUACUGGGCGUAAAGCGCACGCAGGCGGUCUGUCAAGUCGGAUGUGAAAUCCCCGGGCUCAACCUGGGAACUGCAUUAGAAACUGGCUGGCUAGAGUCUUGUAGAGGGGGGUAGAAUUCCAGGUGUAGCGGUGAAAUACGUAGAGAUCUGGAGGAAUACCGGUGGCGAAGGCGGCCCCAUGGACAAAGACUGACGCUCAGGUGCGAAAGCGUGGGGAGCAAACA